Long non-coding RNA from Olea europaea var. sylvestris, 262 nucleotides. RefSeq lists it as uncharacterized. Lineage: Eukaryota; Viridiplantae; Streptophyta; Magnoliopsida; Lamiales; Oleaceae. The record is from RefSeq and is a predicted model, not a curated record. The transcript has 2 exons.
AAAAAAAAGGAGAGAAAAGGGGCAGAGGAAUGGCUGUUCAAAACAUGAGAAUGAGAGAGAAGCUUAAAUACAAUCUUUACUACCAAUUGAUCAUUGGACAAUCCCUGAAGACUACCAGCAAAAGCUCCGGCAAGAAAUCUGAUUAUCCGACCAACUGAGUACUUCCUCUUCAUCUUCCUGUUGGCUGUUGAAGUGUUGCAUUGAGGUUUUCUUGGGUGUUUUGAAACUUUUACUUUGGUCAGAUUCAUACAUCAUUCGUCCA